CAAGUUGGAUUUGGUUUAACAUGUGAACGAUCCCAUACCAUCCGUGUGAAGAACUGCGGACUUUACUCUGUGUAUGAACUGACACCUCUUGCACUUUGCAAUUCUGCUUACUGUUUUGAAAAGAACAGAACAUGUGUAGAAGGUGAACUCGCUGAAGUCUCAGUGGCCUACCAUAAUGUGACUUGGAAGAGUUUUAUUACUAACAUUGACAUUAGAGGGAAAAACUCUCGGAUCGAAAAGCACGAACCU
Molecule: long non-coding RNA, 249 nt
Organism: Saccostrea cuccullata (small rock oyster)
Lineage: Eukaryota; Metazoa; Mollusca; Bivalvia; Ostreida; Ostreidae
Exons: 3
Source: RefSeq, a predicted model, not a curated record